CGGCGCAGCCUGAUGCAGCCAUGCCGCGUGUAUGAAGAAGGCCUUCGGGUUGUAAAGUACUUUCAGCGGGGAGGAAGGGAGUAAAGUUAAUACCUUUGCUCAUUGACGUUACCCGCAGAAGAAGCACCGGCUAACUCCGUGCCAGCAGCCGCGGUAAUACGGAGGGUGCAAGCGUUAAUCGGAAUUACUGGGCGUAAAGCGCACGCAGGCGGUUUGUUAAGUCAGAUGUGAAAUCCCCGGGCUCAACCUGGGAACUGCAUCUGAUACUGGCAAGCUUGAGUCUCGUAGAGGGGGGUAGAAUUCCGGGUGUAGCGGUGAA
This 319-nucleotide ribosomal RNA is filed under the name Escherichia coli. Its description in RNAcentral is "bacterial SSU rRNA". It matches the Rfam family "Bacterial small subunit ribosomal RNA", at positions 373 to 685 of the family's 1533-position model. The record is from RNAcentral. Lineage: Bacteria; Pseudomonadati; Pseudomonadota; Gammaproteobacteria; Enterobacterales; Enterobacteriaceae.